AUUGGUUUUAAUUUUCUUUGUAUAAGCUAUGUACCCCUGUGAGUUACUAGUCAUGGGAUAACCAGUAACUUAUCUUCUUUCAGAUGUUUUAUGCUACUGCUUCUGGGGAGUGCUGCUGUCACAUAAGGCCUUCUAUAGACAGAGUGAGCUGGAGAGCUCAUGGUAUCAGGUAUAAUGAAACAGAAAAUGAAACAACUCAGCCUUCAUAAGCAGACUGUAACACAAGAAGAGCUCAAAUGGAUUCUGAAUGAACAUCCAGUCAAAAUGCCUCCCUCCAAACUGUAUGUACUUCUCUUAUGAUUCCGCCAUCUUCGUAACUUUCACUUUCACCCUAUAUCUACUGUAAUUAGCAAC
Long non-coding RNA from Coturnix japonica (Japanese quail), 354 nucleotides. Lineage: Eukaryota; Metazoa; Chordata; Aves; Galliformes; Phasianidae. The record is from Ensembl.